Vicia faba (fava bean) is the source of this 294-nucleotide non-coding RNA. Lineage: Eukaryota; Viridiplantae; Streptophyta; Magnoliopsida; Fabales; Fabaceae. The record is from the annotation of a GenBank genome assembly.
AUGGUAGUUCGCGGUGGAGGGUUUGUCGCUUUCACAGAUACAUCAACAUGCUUCCCAGGAGUGCCAGGAGCUUAUAGUGAUUAUGAAGCUUUGAAAGCGUAUCCAAACUGUGAUACUGUGCCAUGUGACAAUUACGAAGUUGUAUUUAAGUUGAAUUGUGGUUGGUUGAUAAAGCGGUUAUACCAAUUGAAAAUUAUGUGGAUGGAAGCAUCCACUGCAAUUAUGACUUACUUCUUCGACAUAUAUUACACAUUGUUGCUGAGGUGCAACGGCGUGUUAACCAUUGUCUCUUAG